This 525-nucleotide ribosomal RNA is filed under the name Salmonella enterica. RNAcentral describes it as "bacterial SSU rRNA". It matches the Rfam family "Bacterial small subunit ribosomal RNA", at positions 1 to 515 of the family's 1533-position model. The record is from RNAcentral. Lineage: Bacteria; Pseudomonadati; Pseudomonadota; Gammaproteobacteria; Enterobacterales; Enterobacteriaceae.
AAAUUGAAGAGUUUGAUCAUGGCUCAGAUUGAACGCUGGCGGCAGGCCUAACACAUGCAAGUCGAACGGUAACAGGAAGCAGCUUGCUGCUUCGCUGACGAGUGGCGGACGGGUGAGUAAUGUCUGGGAAACUGCCUGAUGGAGGGGGAUAACUACUGGAAACGGUGGCUAAUACCGCAUAACGUCGCAAGACCAAAGAGGGGGACCUUCGGGCCUCUUGCCAUCAGAUGUGCCCAGAUGGGAUUAGCUUGUUGGUGAGGUAACGGCUCACCAAGGCGACGAUCCCUAGCUGGUCUGAGAGGAUGACCAGCCACACUGGAACUGAGACACGGUCCAGACUCCUACGGGAGGCAGCAGUGGGGAAUAUUGCACAAUGGGCGCAAGCCUGAUGCAGCCAUGCCGCGUGUAUGAAGAAGGCCUUCGGGUUGUAAAGUACUUUCAGCGGGGAGGAAGGUGUUGCGGUUAAUAACCGCAGCAAUUGACGUUACCCGCAGAAGAAGCACCGGCUAACUCCGUGCCAGCAGC